This 1662-nucleotide ribosomal RNA is filed under the name Triticum aestivum (bread wheat). RNAcentral's name for it is "partial small subunit ribosomal RNA". Lineage: Eukaryota; Viridiplantae; Streptophyta; Magnoliopsida; Poales; Poaceae. The record is from RNAcentral.
AUGGGCGGGUGGAGCUGCUUCUGCUGCGGCAACCUGUUCGGCGCCGGGGGAGAUGCCGCGGUCCGGCUGCCGGAGCCGUUCCAGCUGCCGGCGCCCUUGCCCGCGUGGCCGCAAGGACGGGACUUCGCAAAGGGCGUGAUAUGCAUAGGAGAACUUGAUAUUGCAAAUAUUACCCAAUUCCGGAAUAUAUGGAGCUACUCUGGAGCUACGUUCUAUGAGCCAGAAGAGGUUCCUGAUGGUUUCCACUGCCUUGGCCACUAUGCCCAACAAAAUGACCGGCUUUUACAGGGUUCUCUUGUUGUUGCAAGGGAAACGGCUAGCUGCCAGUUAAUCAAUAGCAGGCCUGCUCUUGAGAAACCAUUAGAUUACACCCUCGUUUGGACUAAUGCUGGUGUGUAUGAAGAUGACAAUAGUGAAUGCGGUUGCUUCUGGUUGCCAUCACCCCCUGAGGGUUAUGAAGCCCUUGGCUAUGUGGUUACUAGAGGACCAAAGAAGCCCUCACUGGAGGCGGUCCGGUGUGUGCGACAGGACCUCACGGAUCCAUGUGAAAACUUUAGGUCAGUCGUUAAUGUGGAACGUACAUGCCAAGUUUGGAAGACGAGGCCUUGCCACCGAGGGACAGCAGGACGAGGUAUACCUGUUGGUACAUUCUUCUGUGAAACAAAUUCAGUUAACAGUCAGGAAUCAGGCAUUCCCUGCUUGAAGAACUGCGACCCGAAUUUGAGAGCCAUGCCUGAUCUAGAGCAGAUUCAUGCACUAAUCAAGCACUAUGGCCCAACUGUUUUCUUCCACCCACAAGAGAAAUACUUGCCGUCAUCAGUUUCUUGGUUCUUUGAGAAUGGAGCUACACUGAACAAGAAAGAUAUGAAAAUGGGAGAUCCAAUACUUGCUGGUGGCUCAAACCUGCCUGCUGGUGGGACAAAUGACGGUGAGUACUGGAUUGACCUCCCCGAUGAUGAUACGCGUGAGUUUGUCAAAGUUGGCAAUUUGAAGAGUGCCGAGCUCUAUGCUCAUGUUAAGCCGGCUCAUGGAGGGACCUUCACCGACAUUGCCAUGUGGGUGUUCUGUCCGUUCAACGGGCCAGCAACGAUAAAGGUUGGACUUGCAAGCUUUGCUCUGCAGAAGGUUGGCAGGCAUACGGGAGACUGGGAGCAUUUCACCCUCCGCAUAAGUAACUUCUCUGGAGAACUCUCAUCUGUCUACUACUCAGAGCACAGCGGGGGAGGAUGGGUGGACGCUUGCGAUCUGGAGUUCAUCUCAGGAAACAAGGCGAUCGUGUAUUCGUCGAGGAAUGGGCAUGCAAGCUACGCGCACCCUGGCUGCUACCUGCAGGGCUCUGAAAACCUCGGCGUCGGAUUAAGAAAUGACGUCGCACGGAGCGACCUGUCAAUUGAUUCGAGCACGAGGUAUAAGAUCAUCUCGGCAGAAUACCUUGGAGACGCCGUGGUGGAACCGUGCUGGCUGCAGUACAUGAGGGAGUGGGGCCCGACCUUGACGUACAACUCACGGUCAGAGGUGGACACGGUACUUAGCUUCUUGCCGUUCUUCCUCCGGUUCACGGCGGAAGCCAUAUUCGACAGUCUUCCUGCGGAGCUGUACGAGGAGGAAGGCCCGACCGGACCGAAGGAGAAAAAUAACUGGGAUGGUGAUGAGCGGUGCUAG